CAGGUACUUCCUCCGUUCUAAAUUAUUUGUCUUGGAUUUGUCUAGAUACGGAUGUAUCUAGACUCAUUUUAGUGCUAGAUACCUCCGUAUCUAGACAAAUCUAAGACAAUUAAUUCGGAACGGAGGGAGUACAUG
This is a non-coding RNA of Triticum aestivum (bread wheat), 135 nucleotides long. The record is from Rfam. NCBI's taxonomy places the organism in Eukaryota, Viridiplantae, Streptophyta, Magnoliopsida, Poales, Poaceae.